UUAAAACCUCCUCGGCGUAUUUUUCUUGUCCGGGUGAAAGCGCAGAUUUGAAGGACGGUGCUGGAAGUGUUCCAUUUUCUUUUUAUAUUGUCCUGUAAAAACCAACAGUGGAGUGAUCUUGGAAAAUUACUACUCUGUGUAGCAAAGGCCGGAUGCAACUAAUUCCUCGACUUAUGUGCCAUCAUGGUUGUCUAAACUAUUUCUGGCCAUGUUGCAUGAGGACUAACAUGAUUGGAUUUCUUCAAACAGCGUUGACGCAAAGCAAUGUCAUCUCGGUUCACUGCAGCUCUUUCCAGCAGUAUUUGGACACAUGCAUGUAUUUAUUUCAGCCUACAAUGUGCGCACCCUGCUUGAGGGCUAAUUACAUUUGCACAGCUCAAAGGCCCGCGAGUGUCACCUUUCCUUUUGAGACACCUCCCUGGCACAACGGCGUGGAGGAAAACAUCACGAGAUUUGGGGAAAACGAAGCUCGUAAUUGUGAUCUACUCGUGUUUGUGAUCAAGAAGUUCACAAGCAUAAGCACGUUGAAACAUAACCCACGGUUCAUUUGUCACGGAUGUUUCUUAGCCUGUCUAGUGCGGACACACACGCGCGCGCUCACGUGCGCUCACACAUGCCGUGAAGACCACGUGAGCUACAGAGGAGCAGAAAGAGACGACGAGAGGGAAGCACAGUUGACUUCCUCUGUCGUUACUCACACCUGCAGUAGAAUGCAUCUCCAUAGCAACAAGACUUGCAACUGUGCAGAGUUGAUAUUUGAGGUUGUGAUCUUUAAUGCCCACUUUUAUCUCCCUUUUUUACUGCAGUAUUUUGUGGAAAUGCAUUUCUCGGUGGGUUUUCUCCCUGACCUCCUCUCUUAAUUGGGUUUGUUUCACAACUAAGACUCGCUUGUCAUCAGUCUGUCAACUGAAAGCUAUUAAUAAAUCAUCCCAAAUCAUGCUCAUAUACGCAGGAACAAAAAUGGUGUAAUGAUUUCUUUGACUACAUCUCUCCUGUCAGCCAAUUACUGUAUACAAUGAACAUGUAAUUCAAAUUGGCUUAUACAAUUAUUGUAUCAUUAUUAUUAUAUAGUUAUUGUACAAUUAUAUAAUAUAUUGUGCCUACACGAUGCCAUCUUUUCUAAAACCUUUUUA
Gasterosteus aculeatus aculeatus (three-spined stickleback) is the source of this 1133-nucleotide long non-coding RNA. The record is from Ensembl. NCBI's taxonomy places the organism in Eukaryota, Metazoa, Chordata, Actinopteri, Perciformes, Gasterosteidae.